Betta splendens (Siamese fighting fish) is the source of this 1681-nucleotide long non-coding RNA. RefSeq lists it as uncharacterized. The record is from RefSeq and is a predicted model, not a curated record. The transcript has 2 exons. Lineage: Eukaryota; Metazoa; Chordata; Actinopteri; Anabantiformes; Osphronemidae.
UUCUGCAUUGUUCUGGUGUGCGUUCUAAGACUUGUGGAUUCGGUGGAAAGAUCCGAAACAGGAAUUUCACGGUUUCACUGAAUGUGGUGAAGCCGCGUGGCUCCGUCUGUAAAUACUGACAAACCAGAAAAUCAUCAGAGCCCAUUUGAGUGAGAACCAAACACUAUUAAGAACUAGCUGACCUAAGUUAAUGCUUAAUAAUAAGCAAGAGUAAUGUAGUAAUUGCAGAUACAGUAGAAGAUACAAGAAUAAACAACCUAUGACAAUUUGUUAAUCACCUGUUUUUACAACGUCAUCAACUGACAACUGGCUUGUCAAGGUUUUACAAAACGGUUACGGGUUUUUUUCCUUCUCAAAUGAACAAAGAAGCGACACACACUUCACCAGACAAAUCUGUGUGAACCAGAAAGAAAAUCCAAGAGCAGCAGUGAGAUCAGAUUGGAUGGUUCGCAUAUGCUGUCACAUACUGUAAGAGUAAUUGGUGGAAACAAGUGACGGAAGGUAGGUAGGUGAGUACAUAGAUGGAUGGAUGGAUGGAUGAAUGGAUAGAUACAAUACGACUUUAUUACAGUUUUUGCCUACUGCAAAUGCUCAGACCAAUACUUAAACUUCUUUUAGCAUAAUGUUAAACACAGUAUAACCAAAGCUUAAACACAUUUUCAGCUUUGCACUUUGGUUUCAUUUUUGUAACACACUUAUUGCGAAACACUGCACAUACUGUACAGAACGAGGACGUGGGCGAGGACCAGCGUGAGACGUGUAUCAGAUGAAAUCAGCGCCCCUCCAUUCACUACACGCAGCUGUGCAGCACAGCCCAGAGCAGCCCAGCAGUGGAAGAGGCACGCGGAGAAUUUGAGGUGGAUUCAACACACAAGGCCAUAUUUUCCCCGAUGCCCGUGAGAACAUCGCCUGUGAUGUGGAUGAGGUCUUGAGGUCAGACCCACAAUGAAGACGGGAUCCAUGAGCCCCCCCACCACACACAAAAUGUUUCUUCUGGAUCUUUUGUUGAUACAUUUCUGUAAGAAUUUUUUGUGUGUAAAAACUAUAGUUUGAUUACUGCAGAAAUGCUAUGUCUCAGUUUUACUGAAGACGUCUGAGCAAAUUAGAAUUAAAAAUGGAAACAAAAAGACAGUUGUUUCAGGUGGGAAUUAACGAGGCGUGAACCAUCUAAUCCUAAAAAAGUGUUGUGCGUUGUUUCUACAAAGCCUCAUCCAGCUUUGAGUUCUACUUGAACCUGACACACAAAAAUGUGAAGAGAAGGGAAAAUCACACAUCAACUCACCUUCCACCAGUAGAAACUAGCUGCAGACAGAUUGCUUCCUUCUGACAAAAACACUUCCACAGACUCGUUGAAGCGCCUCAGAAACCAUGUGUCAUUUUUGGACAAACACUUCCCGCAAUCGCAGGCGCUUUUGUCACGCUGCUGGAAAAAGUCCUGGGAAAAUUCGGGUUCUCCGAAAAACACCCCGAUGGCAGCGAUGCACAGCAGGAAGGUGAAGACAGUGAUGAAGUGUUUUGGAGGCAUGGAGGCCAUUAGGUCCCGGUGAUCAGCAGUCAGCCUUCAGUCUGUAGACACAGAUGUGAAAGAGGUUUGAGCUCAAAAAACACAGCUGCUUAAAAAAAAAAAAGAACUUGUUUAAAAAUGGAAAGAAUGUAUGUUGAAUGAGGUCAAAGGCAAUAU